GACGAACGCUGGCGGCGUGCUUAACACAUGCAAGUCGAACGGAAAGGCCCUGCUUUUGUGGGGUGCUCGAGUGGCGAACGGGUGAGUAACACGUGAGUAACCUGCCCUUGACUUUGGGAUAACUUCAGGAAACUGGGGCUAAUACCGGAUAGGAGCUCCUGCUGCAUGGUGGGGGUUGGAAAGUUUCGGCGGUUGGGGAUGGACUCGCGGCUUAUCAGCUUGUUGGUGGGGUAGUGGCUUACCAAGGCUUUGACGGGUAGCCGGCCUGAGAGGGUGACCGGCCACAUUGGGACUGAGAUACGGCACAGACUCCUACGGGAGGAAGCAGGGGGGAAUAUUGCACAAUGGGCGGAAGCCUGAUGCAGAAACGCCGCGUGCGGGAUGACGGCCUUCGGGUUGUAAACCGCUUUAGCCUGUGACGAAGCGUGAGUGACGGUAAUGGGUAAAGAAGCACCGGCUAACUACGUG
This 468-nucleotide ribosomal RNA is filed under the name uncultured bacterium. RNAcentral's name for it is "partial 16S ribosomal RNA". It matches the Rfam family "Bacterial small subunit ribosomal RNA", at positions 28 to 507 of the family's 1533-position model. The record is from RNAcentral.